RNAcentral lists this ribosomal RNA (402 nucleotides) under uncultured bacterium. RNAcentral's name for it is "bacterial SSU rRNA". It matches the Rfam family "Bacterial small subunit ribosomal RNA", at positions 355 to 774 of the family's 1533-position model. The record is from RNAcentral.
UGGGGAAUCUUGCACAAUGGGGGCAACCCUGAUGCAGCGACGCCGCGUGAGCGAUGAAGCCCUUCGGGGCGUAAAGCUCUUUCGACCGGAACGAUAAUGACGGUACCGGGAGAAGAAGCUGCGGCUAACUACGUGCCAGCAGCCGCGGUAAUACGAAGGGUGCAAGCGUUACUCGGAAUUACUGGGCGUAAAGCGUGCGUAGGCGGUCUGUUAAGUCUGCUGUGAAAUCCCCGGGCUCAACCUGGGAAUGGCAGUGGAAACUGGCGGGCUAGAGUACGGUAGAGGAUGGUGGAAUUCCCGGUGUAGCGGUGAAAUGCGUAGAGAUCGGGAGGAACACCAGUGGCGAAGGCGGCCAUCUGGACCAGUACUGACGCUGAGGCACGAAAGCGUGGGGAGCAAACA